This 69-nucleotide transfer RNA is filed under the name Plethodon shenandoah (Shenandoah salamander). Its description in RNAcentral is "tRNA-Ile". Lineage: Eukaryota; Metazoa; Chordata; Amphibia; Caudata; Plethodontidae. The record is from RNAcentral.
GGAAAUGUGGCCGAAAACAGGUCUUACCUUGAUAGGGUAAAUUAUAGAGAUUAACCCCUCUCAUCUCCU